AUCUUGACCCAUUAAGGUUUUUUUCCAUCUUAAUUGCUCUCCUCUGCCCCAUCCCAUCCUGCUGAGGGGGGCAGUGGUAGAGCAGCUUGGUGGGUACCUGACAUCCAGCCAAAGUCCACCCAUCACACUUACCCACUGCUGUCUCUCAGAAAAAUCCACAUCAGAGUUUGGCUCAAAACUGAAAAUCUGUGGUUUGACUGCUCACCCAAGUGACUGCCAGGAGCAGGGAGGGGGACGAGUUGCUCCUGCAAUACUGAGUAAUAAUGGAUUGGAGGAGCCCACUGAAAAUGUUUUCACUUCAGAUCAGAUAACAUUGUUUGCAGGGCUGUUCCAAGGUUUCUGCAUAGGCUCAGUGUGAUAACUUCACCCUGUAAAGUCAUGUAGGUGCAAAAGAACUUGUGGGCCCAAGAUGGUGAUUUCUGGUGUCAGAGGUGAAGCCAGUUUAUGGCUACUCACUCAGCACAGUGCAGGCCAAGAAGCCACCUUGAGUCAAUAGGAAAGAAGAGAUUACACUGAAAAAGCAACCAGCUUACCUCUGAAAUGGGGGUAUAAUAAAUCAGGGAAAAAAACCAAAAAAACCCAAAAAAAACCACAAAAACCCCCACAGUGAUUAGCUUUUAGGAAGAAAUAGUUUCUGUUUUGUUUUUCCAAGAAUAGAAAAGUCAAGUCUCUGACAAUUAAAGACUUCAUUUUUUGACUAAAGAAAAAUAUUUCCUGCUCUCCUGCAGUCUUUUCCACAUCACUCUAGCCAGAAACUUUGCUGUCUCUGAGCAGUAAUCAUUUACCUGAAAAAUACCCUAUAAUAUUUCUCUUUGUGGAGGUUGGUAGUACAGAUGCUGACUUUGAAGCGUGAUGUACGACUCCAAGUGGCAUGAAAAGAAAUUGAUGAGACAAUUAGAACUUAUGAGAAUGGUGCUUGCAUUAAUAUGUUGGGGAGAAUCACCUAGAAUAAAGUAUUUCAAACUCCACAGAAACCUUAGAAUUUAUUUGGCAUCUCAAGUAGCUCCCUGAGUUGUUAUUGCACAAAGCACAAUACAAACAUACAUAAAAUCCUGACCUAGACUUCAGCCACUGACUAAUCUCCCUUUGACUUCAUGGGGCCAGGAUUCCAGCUGACUUCUACUCCAGGGAGUUACACAGAAACACACACAGAUCCUGAGCAUCUAGUAUGACUUCUGCUUUAUAUUGUUGUCAUUGUGGUCUAGGAUGCUGAAGAUAUUUAGUUAUCUCCCUUCUAGCCUAUAUGCCAGGGUAGGCCAGGGAACACCUGAACCUGGUGAGUACUCAGAGGAUAAGUGUGUGCCUGACUGUUACACAGAGGGAUCUUGUUCCUUGUGUGGUGUCUUUCUAGUCCAUGAGAUUCCAUGUGAGGUGGAACAGCUAUGGCAAGAGGGCAUGAAUAUUUGGCCUCAAUAUGAAGUGUCUUAAUGCAUUCCAUAACACUUGUGGCAUUUCUUUCCAUUCCAAAGCAUAUAAUUUUUGAAUAACUGCCCGUCCUUUACAUGGCCUCUUCUUUUACCCUCUAUCAGUCUGCUUCCUGUAAAGCAAUAAAAGCCUUUGCACAGCAGGAGAUUUUUAUGUCCACUUUGUGACUGAGCAGCAAGUAAAGCUGGGAGGAGAAGAGGACAGCUCAGUCAGCCUUGGUAAUCAGCUCUGGCUUGGAACCUGGAAAACCCAUUUGAACACACAUUUGCUCCUGUGUUUUUGCUUUGCAACCACUGCACUGGUUAGCAUUUGAGAUUUCUGACUAGAAAUAUUGUUCCUUUUGCAGAUAGAAGUGUUUGGUUUUAUUAUUUCUAGCUGGUGCUACUGAUGCACUUGGAAUUAAAUAGGGAGGAGAUCAUUCCUUUAUGGCUAUUUACUUAUGAACUGACCGAUGGUCCAGAUCAUGUCACAUAUAAGUAUUUCAGUACUUUCCUUUUUAGAGAUGUUGUAUCUUUCUGAAGCCUUUCUUGCCUUAUGACAACUACUUUUUUACUUUUGAUAAUUAUAUUUUUAAUGAUACAAAUAUCUUAAAUAUAUUGUCUUUUAGCAGAAUACUUUGACAUCAACAGCUACACAGGUCUCAUUUUGCAAACCACAGCUUACUCUGUACCUGUAGAAGAACUGGGCUUGAGGCAGGUGCAUUGCACCUACAAAUUUCUCCCUGCAAAACCAGAUUUUUAGUUGUUAUUUUUUACCCUUUCUGAUAUUAAAAUUUGUACUCAGUAUUAUUGGUAUUUUGACACUGCAGGAACAUCUGAUAACAUGAGUCAUGGACCAGCCUCAUUGUUGUAUUGUUAGCUGUUUUGCUUAUCUCUUUCCUUCUUCUGUAGAGUGCAAGCAUAGCUGUGAGAAGGGGGUCGUAUAAUUUUUGUUCCAUACCUUGAGAGCCUUUGUAAUAUGAAGGUUUAGAUCUAGAAUUAUAAUUGUGUGGGAUGCUGUAUGCACAAGCAGAAUGACAGCCCUUGCCAGGUAGUUUACAAUGAUGUAUUGAGAAUUCUUUAAAGUGAACGUGGACAUGGAAGAUGCACCUAUCUCUGAAAGAUAGGUACAAUUAGAUUGACAACUUGGAUGUCAGGCUUCUUGUUGAUGUAAUUUAAAAUAGUUGUUGCCACUCCCUCCCUCCCUCUAUUCCCUGAAAUAUGUCUUAUACUGGAAAUGCUGACAAGACCCUCAUCAUUUGCGAUGGCACCGUGCACAGCUUUAAAUACUGGUUAUAAAUGUUAAUGUGUUAUCUGAAUGAUAUUUUUUCCAUAUGUAGGCAGCUCAGGAUAGAGUUUCAGUAAUAAAUUUAACGAGUUCAGGGGGAAGAUGCAGUAUAUGCUUAUGUGAGUAUUAUAAUGAUUGGCAUUUUUGCAAACAGCAUAUGAUAAGUGGCGCAAUUUUAUUUUCAAAGUUUAAUCAAUAGAGAGCUCUUUGAUAUUGCCAUGUACUUUUCAAAUAGAUGAUUCCUAAGAAUGACAGCAAAACAAUUUCUCUAUCAUGGUGUGUAUAUGCUUGGGGUUUAAUCAAUCUGCUUUAGUGAUUGUCAUAAAUUUUGAUAUUCCAAAAAAUAAAUAGAAGCUAUAAAAUAAUUAUGCUCUGGGGUGUCAUCCUGUUGCUGCUUGCCUGGGUCAUCUGACUUCACAAAUAUUUAAAAGGAUGCACAGUCCAUCACUGUGCCAGUUACAAGAGCAUGGGCCGUGUAGCAUUUUAUUCCUAUUUAUUGUAAACCCACACCAGCUAUUGCACAGGAAAUUGAGGUGGAUCUUCAAGGGCUUAAGAAGGACUUUAUGAAUGCCUUGUGUUAAACUUUUGGAAGUGAAUUUGCUCUCAAAUAAGAGGAGCCAGAAAUUACCACCUCACUACACAGCAGCCUCCCCUGUAAUUUUGAUCCCUGUGGGGUCAUCAGAAGUGGCUGAAGCUCCUUCUGUGUGAACCAGAACAUCCACCUAACCCAAAUCCCCUGGGGUGGUCCCUUCAGUGGUCCCAGCACCAAUAUAGGUGCUCUUCUAGGAGUCUGAGAGGAGCAGUACACCCCUGGCCUUUCUCUGGGACGUUUCAAGCCAGUAGAGAGGACUUUGGGGAGAUGCCCAAUGCUCUGGGUGAGCUUUGUUCUUGCUGAGCGGAGCCCAGUUGCCUGUGUCUCUUUUGUUCUUGGAAACAACAGUAGCAGCUGAAAGCUGAACUUUGGAAGAUCAUUUCACAAGCAUUUGAAGGCUGGCCGUGUCCACACAGAGCUGUGGUGCCAGCCCAGCUUGUCCUCCCUAUUGCAGGAGCCUGCAGAAAUUCAUGCUGGCCCCACGAAACCAGUCCCAGGGAAGCCUGCCUGGAACAGACGGUGUCAACGAUUUAUUGGAUGUGGCAGCAGAAGGACACACAUGAUGAGCUUGGAGAUAACCUUUGGCAGGGAACUCUCUCUGUCACUUCCAGUCUUUCUGAUAAAAAAAUAUAGUAACUGGUAGGCAUUUGGGAAACAGGGAAGCUGGAGCAUUUCAGGUGAUUUGACCUGAAUGUAGCAGAGUGCCAUGAGCACUGAUGCAGAACCUCCAGAGAUGUCAGCAGAUCUGUGCCAGGCACCACUGCAGGGUAUGACCCGGUCGGCAUCAGGAUGGAUCCUCAUCUAGCACAGGAAUUCCUCCAGAGCCAUGAGGGAUUUGGGCAGGCUGACAUCAGUGUAAGACCAGGGUUUAAGUGUGCUGUGCAUACUAGAUGAGUUGUUGUAGACACUUGUGAAAAAAAAAACAUCAUUGAAAAUUUAUUUAUUUUUAGCACUUUUUAGUUGCAGCAAGAAGAUCCCAUUGCAACAUCCAGAUAUUACAGCCUCAGCUGUAGCUCCACUUACUUUCAUGCAAGGAUUCAAGAGGAUGACCUAGAGAGAGCAAAGGGUUUUUACUCUUUUUUUUUAAAAAUUUUGUUUUGUAAUAUAUAUGCGUGUGUGUGAGCUCUGUAUGGGUAAAUAUAUACAUGUAAGUAUGGACAUCUGUUUGUUUAAAUAACAUGUGUUUUCCUUUGCUGUCCCUGACCAAUAUCAAUUGCUGUGCUGCCUUUGUAAAUAUGCUGCAAUGGCCGAUUCUUUUGAAUUCUUUGUGCUAUCUUUGCUUAUGCUGAAUAGCAGCUGACACUUUAAUUGGGAUGACUGAGCUGAGUGCAUUCGCCUUUGGAAUUGGACACUUUUCAGUCUGAAGAGAGGGUACCACAGACUGACUUUUCUGUCUUUAUCCUCAACCAAAACUCCAUUAAAUCAGACCUACAGUUUGUAGCAAGGGACAAUCUCCGUUGCAUUGAAACACAUGGGAAAGGCUGGAGACUCAGUUUUGAAGGUUAAUUAGAUCCUGAAAAGAAGAAUUAACUGAAUUUGUUUUCUGUAUUUUUUUCCCCUAUUUUUAAGAAUCUUUUUAAUUACUUUCAUCUCUGUUGGUGAUGACCACUUUUCUCUUUAUAGGAAAAAUAUCAUGUACUUUUGAGUUUAUUAAAAACCUUUUUGAUAGACAGAUUCUAAUUCUCAUUUUAAACAAAAAUAAGCAUAGUGCUGGCACAUUGUGUUAAAAUUUAGGCAUCAGAACUUACUCUAUAUUAAUAUGAGCUAAUCUUUAUUUUUGUUUAACUGAGUGCUAACAUUAUUCAGACUUAGGCACUAAAUGGAAUUUAUUUUUUUUUUUCAGUUGGCUACAUUAUCUUUGGAAAAUGAAGGAAGGAAUAGUUUAGGACAUGACCAUUCAAAAACUCUUUGGUGGGGGUGGAAGUUUCAGCAACCAGUUCUUUUUUUCAGGUUCCUGUUACGCAGCUGCUGUUGACCCUACUAUUGAUUCAGAAAGGUAAAUAUUCUCCUUUUCAACUCUCUCUGGAAGAUUGUCUUUGGCUGCAUGAAAACAUGCUUCUUGUAUUGUUAUAGUAACAAUAUUUAAGUGACCUGCUCGUGUACCAGCAGAAAAAUCACUUCUGUGCCCCUAAAGAAGGCUCUCAAAACCUAAGAGUUCCAGCAAAGACAGUCUCCUUGUGGAAGACCAUGAAAGGUUUGAGCUCUAGGUUUUAGAUCUGUUGUACUGAAUGUAAAAGACCUGGAAAAAGCAAGACUGGACAGAGACUGACAAGAUAGACUUCCAAUCAGUCAUGUUACAAAUAAAAAAAAGUAUUCAAAGUGAAAGAAGCACGGAGGAGGGACUGCUGUGGGAAUGCAAAAGAAAAAUGGGGUAAACUGAAUUUUUAGAGCAUGUUUUGGGGAUCCUGGGGUGAUCAGAAGUAAUCAAAUGUUGGAACUGGAAGCCACGACCAUGUAAAACAGUGCUGAAACUAAUUGUCCUGGUGUGAUGCUGAGGUGAGGUGAUAUCUCCUGGUGUUUAUGAACAAGUGCAUGCUGCAGUUUGCUUUGUUUCUUGGAGUGGAUUGAGGCUCUCUGCAGCUUAUGGCAGAAGGGCAGCCCCAGCUUGUUCUCUCUUUUCCGUAUAUUGGUUACUGAAAAGCAAGAGAUACCAACACUUCUGUAGCUCUGCCCCUCUGUCCCUAGAGGCAGUGUGAGCCAGUCUUCUGCUAUGAUUAAGACCCAUGCACUCUCCUGUUGCAGACCCCUGAAGCCAGUGUGGUGAUUCUCAACUGGGCAAACGCAAGCAAGCAGGAGCCACUGUAAGAACACCUGUCCCUGUGUUUCUCUUGGUGUUCUAGUGCUCUGUUUACAUGAUCACACAUCGGUUUCAGGGCUAAUGACCUGCUUGAGGUGCUGAAGGAAUACAGUCACACAGUUAGUCAGGCUUAGCUUCAGAAAUUAUUGGGACCAUUACUAGAUCUUGGAGUUUUACUUUUCCAUUCUGGCUGUGUUUCAUUCACACUUAGGCAUUUCACACCUGCUGUCAUGGAAGAGUUCUUCAACACAGCCCCAUUUCACACAUCCUCAGGCAUCCAGGAACAUCUGGAAAGUGACUGAUUUCAUCCGGCUUACAGCACAUUCUCAAGUCUUGGCAUUCUUGCUUUCAUGGCUUUGGGGUUUUGCAAUGUAAAAUCAAACAGGCAUCAGUUGACAUAUGCAGAUACAAACAGAUUAACUGGAGGUACAAAGCAGGGAGGUGAAGGGGUUCACAAUUAACUAGUGUUGUCUAAUGGAAGCUGUGUCAUGGAUUCCCCCUGUGGCUUUGAAACUGCUGGCAAAACAAAGUCCAGGCUUAUUUGACACUGAACCCAGUACUACUGCUGGUAUCUGUGCAGUGCCAAGGAACCUUGACUACGGCUCAGAAGCCCCUUGCUCUGGAUAAUGGAAAACACAGAACAAGAUGGUCACUGCCUCAAUUGUAACUGUUGUGUGAAACAGAGAUUCCUUGAUGCCAUCAGUCUCUAAACAGCCUACAGAGAGCACAAAACCAAUCUCCUUUGAAAGAUAGACUUGGUUUUGCUGACGUUAGAAAACAAGUUGUUUGGAUUCCAUACAAGGGAGCAUCUGAUGAUGAGUUGCUUUUAUACAGAGCAAGUCAAGAUGCUUUAUGUAAUUGCUUAGUGUCAGAACAAAGCUGUAUUAACAGAGCUUAGCAAGUUAGGGACCCAAAGCCAUCCUUUUUUGGCACCUCCUGAAAGUAGUAUAUUACUUUGCUCACAGGCAAAGUGCUGUCUGAGCAGAGGAGCUGAGGUAGGCAGACAAAUACCAUGGCCAGGUUCAUGUAAUGCUUGUUGAGGUCAAACCUCCUGGAAGGCAGUGCAACAGAGGUGCUCUGUCCUGAGCUUCUGAGGCUGUCACCUGCUAAUUGGAUAGACUGUCUCUGCCUUAGUACUGAUCAGAGUUAAUGCCCAAGAUCAAAAGAUAGCUCAAUGAAGAUAAAUUUGCAGCAUGAGAGAAUUCAUCAUGUAUUUAAAGUUACUGAAAUGUGCAAUAAGCAAAGCACUGAUAUCAUGGAGGUGUGCAUAAGAAUGUAGUGAGGCAAGAUCCCGAGGCACUCACUGAAUCUGAAGAGUUUACCAUGGAGUUUAAAGAAUAUUAAGGUUCCUAAUUUGUGUUUGAAGUUAUAGACUCCUCCCAAUAUUAAAAUAUAUUAAAAUUCAUCCCUCAGAUUCUCUAGAAAUGGUCCCACAUUUCUAGAAUAUACCACAGGACUUUCUGUUUGCUGUCUGAUCUUUCUACCACUAUAUGAGUAUGUAAAACUGAGGCAAAACUGGCUCCCACUGCCAUAAGUCUGUGAUAUAGGGGACUCCGACUGCAACAAAGGCAGAGAAAUUCCUGCCACACAGAUGUAAGAAUGAGGAAGCACUGUGUUGGGGAUACUAUUCUUUCCCAUUAAGCUUCAGCCUUGUCUUUCAUCACCAAUGAAAAUUUAUUGUCUUACAGCUGAGUACCCCUUACCUCUAUCUUGAAGGGCCUCAAUAAAGGUGAGAACUCAGGCAUUAUGUAAACUGCUGGAACACCUGUUACAGUAAUUUUUCAUUUUACUGAAAUCUGUAAAGUUUUUCCAAUCGCCUUUCAUUCUAUUCAGACACUUUGGGAUAUAUGGCAGGUGAAGGCUUUUGAAAUAGAGUGAAAUCUAACCUGGAAAUGUGGGGGAGCUUUUUUUAAAGCAGGUGUACAUACACACACUUCCUGCACAAACAACCUCCUUUUUGCCCAAGUGGAAGGAGAUGUGUUCUCAAAAUUUGCAGCCAGCACAUCGUGUUUACAUGUGUUACGCUUCCAGGGCAUCAAACAGCGAUCAGCAGGGUAAGGCUGGAGAGGACAGAACCUUUCUUUCUGCUGCAGAACAUUCUGGUGGGGUGUAAGACAGCGAGGAAACAUGGGGACUGCUGAGGAGGUCUGUGCUGUACAGGUAGAACUCACCAUCCUCUGACCAGCAGAAUGCUAAUGCAGAGGAUGAAAAGCACUGUUUAAGGCAGAUGGAGUGUAUUGAGGUGUGUGUGUGUUCUGCUACUUCAUUAGCAGCACUCAGUGUUCCUUCAGUGCUCUGAUCCUUGAUGGCCUUUGAGCAUGAGACUGCUUCCAGUAAUUUGCCUCAUCUACUUCUUCCUUAUCAGAUGGCCUGUAGCAGACACCCACCAUAAUGUCACCCAGCAUGGGCUGCCCUCUGGUCCUGACCCAUAUGCUGCCAACUGUCUUGUCACCUGUCCCAAGGCACAGACAGCUCCAGGUGUCCCAGUUGCUCUCUCACAUAAAGGGCAGCUCUCCCUCCUUGAUGUCCUGGCCUGUCCUCCCUGAAGAGCUGGAUCCAUCCAUAGCAGCCCUCCAUGGCAGCUGACCACCCCCCUCCUGAUCCUACCAAGCUAGUGCAUCACGUGUCUGUGGUGCCAGCAAGAUCAUAGCCCAUCCCAGCACCUUUGCUGCCUUCUGUUUGUCCCCUGUAGUGUACAGACACUGGGGACCAUUAUGAACCACUGUGAGUCAGCAUUUAGACUUUGCACCCUGUUCCAGCAGCAGGCAGGUGCAGGGGAGGUCAACCAGCCCCAGAAGGAUUUCUUUACUUGCACAGCACUUUCCAGCUCCAAUGAACCACUCGACAUCGAGGGGCAGACAUCUCACCAGUGGCUCACACACCUGCCCCAGCACCCUGGUUAGGCUGCCCUGCACUUGUGUGAGCCCAGCUGCCUGUUGGUGUGGCGUUUCACAGGUGUACCAAGUGCACAGAAUUUAGCAAAACUGUGACCUGAGCCCUCUGCACAGCGCUCAUUAGCAGCAGGCUCAGCCCUCAGCACUGCCUGCUGCAUACUAACAACUUGUUUUCACCGUUGCAGGGCAUGGGAACUGCCUCUGUGUGCCGACAUCCUCAGCCAUUCCUCCCGUGGCUGCUCGGGGUGCUGGGGCAGCCCUCGGGGUUUUGGGAGGUCACAGGUGAUCACAUUUACGAGAGGAUAAAAAAGAAACUAUCACUUGUUGAGAAGACUUUUCACAGGAUUUGUGAUAACUCUCCAAAUUCUGAAGCCUGCUGAAAUUUUCCUUGACAGCCUAAACCAAAAUGUGCAGCUCCACCUGAGGCAUCUAAAGGUACAUUUUUGCAUGCUUAAUUGUUGUUGUCUGUAUUCUUGUUUAGAUACAAGUCAUUUAGACUCAACCAAUGACUAGCAGAAGUAAACAAAAUUAUUUGCACGGGAAAAGCAAGCACUAUUUAAAACUAUAUUUUCAGUAACAAGUAACAUAGGCCAUGAAUAAAUUCAAUUUGUGUUUCAAGGGCUUUUUUGCGUGUGCAAAAAUCCAGUAGUGAAAAAAUAGGCUGAAAGAUAAUCUGAGGGGUGCAGUCCAGAACAGCAAUCCAGAAGAGAUGAUCCACAGUAAAAAAUACUGCAAUUUAUUUUUUUUAAUUUACUUCUGCUACUUUAAUUUAUUAUUGUUUAUUCAUUUGAUAGAUGGCAUUUAAUUUCAGUUUGAGAGCUUCAGGAUGAGAGUUUGAUGCUAAUGGUUGGAAUUUAGUCCUGGGCAGAAAGCCAACAUGCCACAGCCAUGUUCCACUUAUGCCCUCCAAGCUGUAUUUAAGUGGCCUUCUGUUGCCCUUAGGGUAUGUUUUACACAGGAAGCUUAAAGCCUAUUGCAGGCCUGUAGCUCACUUGCUGGAGCAAGGGAAAGAUGGCUUUCCCUCUCUUCUGUUCUCUUCAGCAAGAAAAUCAAAUUAUUGGAUUACUGGCCCUUUGAUUGUGCUCAGCACAGAUAGUUCAAAAUCCCAUUUUAUUGGACCUCUGAGAUGAAACGUAAAUGGUUGAGGAAAAAAAAUGCAUUAAAUUGGUCUAAUAUGUCAAUAGUAUGCUAAUACCUGGCUAAGUGGAAUGGCUAUGACUGUUCUUCUAAACAGCCUAAUGUAUGUAACAUUUCUGCUGCUAGACUGCCCAUGUGAAAAAUAAAAACAGUAAACCAAAAAAAGCCACCCAUAGGACCCUAUUAGAGGGAUAAAUUAAUGCAGAUUUUCUUUCCUUGCUUAUUUUUAUUUCUGGAAAAGAAAAUCAAAGCAAACAGAUUGAUCCUUUGCAGGGUCAAAGUUGUAAUUAACUGAGGAUCUAUGCAGCACAUGAAAUAUUGGGGGUAAUAGAUUAGAACCUGACUGCUUUGUUCUACAUAUACCUUCAUAUACAUUGACUUGAACUUUGAAUUUGCUACUCUCAGUCAUUUUUUGUUUCUUGCACAUAUGUUUUAUGUAUUUAUUUAGGGCUAAAUUCUAUUUGUUACCUUGUGUUUUUAAGACACAAUACCAGCAGAGACUGGGAGAAGCAUUGUAAUAGAUUUUAAAUGACUUUAUUAUUGUCAUCAUUGCGCAUAUUCACCCAUAAGUAUCAUGGUCCAAACUAUUUUGAGGUAAAUCAUUAAAUUGUACAAAAUAAAUAAAUAAGUCCAUGUGAAAGUGCAGCUGAAGCGAAUCCCUGUACUUUACAAAGUGGAGAAGAUUUCUUUAAUAGCCAAGGAUUUGAUUCUUCCAUUUUAUAUUAGACUGGUUUCUCUACAUGUUUCUUGUUAAAAUUGUUAUCUCACUGUCCUUUUGUACUGAUGUGUCUCUAGAGCAAUAAAUAGCUAUUGAAAUGCAGCUGUCACUGUGACUGUGUGUGAAUUCCUUUCACUGCCCAGUUUUGAUGAAUGCAGUCUGGACAGGGAGCAGAGGCUGCACCUUUGGAUGAUGGGAGCAGGCUUUUACACUUGUGAAUCUUUAGCAUUAUCUUGAGAAGUAAACUGUCCUUUUGCAGUGAAUCCCUGACAAUGUAUUAGUUCAACUGUGCAUUUACUGAGGGAUAAAAUCUUUCUUCUGUGAGCAGUGGGAAAGCCAGAGAGGCAAACAAAAAAUCAGCCAUGUUCUGCAGCCCUGGACCAAAAGACUUGUCGCUUCCUGAGCCAGCACAGCCCAGCACAGACGCAGGCAGCCAGUGACACCUUCAGCAUGGAAAGUUAUAUGGGACUAAUUUGCGUCCUAGACCAAGUUUCCAACACUGCUCUUCUCACCAGGGCUUGAAGAGGGAUUACUGUGCUCUGUGUUAAGUCUAAUAUAUAGUAUCUAUCUGUAAAAAAUACAACCUGAGAUAAAAUGCUUGCCUAGGGAGUGGGAUAGAGUGGUCCAGGCUCUUCACAGCUUGCAGUGAUUUAAUACCAUUUUUGCUGUCCAGAGAAACAGGCAAUUGUGAUGAGAUUAAAAAAAAAAACAGUCUGCCCUUUGCUCUGCCAGCCCUGGCAUCUGGGUAGAUGCUCAGAUAAGGGUGCCAGUAGGUUGUAGCUGAUCUGCCCCCUGAGACAGCACUGUGUGAAGAGGGAGUGAAGUGAGGGAAGGGAGGGGGAACAGGGCAAAGCAGCCACACUGCAGCAGGUUUAGCUCUAUUUUGGGGGGUGGCAGGGGCAGACCCCGGGAAGCAUCGCAGUGCCUGCCUUGGGGAGGAGUUGCUCUAACCCUGGGAGGCUCAGAGCCUGUCUUUUCCCUUGUCUCCCCCUCUUCUGAUUAAAGCCUGCUUGCUGUUUUCUUCUCAGUGGAAAUCAGCAGCUGUGAGCAGUCAGCAUUUUCACCAGAAGGAGAAGAAGCUGUUCCCUACCCGAACUUUCUGAGGGGUGUGUGGUUCAGUUUGUUGCAAGUGUGUCAGCAAAUUAACAUCACCUCUGUAGGUGAAUGGGCACUGAGUCAGGGUUAGUCUGGCAAGGAGAGGAAUGAGAAAGGUUAGCGCUGACCAGGAGUAUUCAAGCCUGCACACUACUGGGAGGAGGUGUUGAGUAACAUUUUAGCCUGUCUGGAUCUGUCCAAAAUGCUAUCACACUGUAUUAUGUUUCUUUAAUAUCAGCCAGUAAUUCUUCUCAUGAUAUUUGUAGUUAGCAAAUACACGUGUGAUUGUUGUCAAUUGAAGUAAUAAUGGUGUAGUUGGAAAACAUUCUUUUAAAACAAAAAGUGGUAAAAUGGUACUAAGACAACAGUAUAAUGGGAUUACUUUCAUGAAAAUUACAGACUGUGAAUUAUAAAUAAGAGAACAAUAGAAAACUUUUUUUUUUUUAGUGGAAAAUAUAAUAAAUGCAAGGGAAGCCAAAAGUUUCUCAUUGAUCCUUUUCCCAGAGAUCACUCAGGGAACCUCUCAUGCAGAACAGUCUAUCUUUGAAGAAGAUGCAGUUUGUGUAUGUUCAGUCUCUGCAAGUCCCUCACAGCUACAGCAGAGUGUGCACUUGUGGAUCCAUAUUGUUAUGUGCUCUUGGGCUUAUCUCCAUCUGGACUUGAAACCCUGCUUAGAAUAUAUCCUGCCUUCACACUAUGGAAUCGUGCUGCCUAGGCUAUAUUACUGUCCUAAGCUAACCUCUGAAAUGCUGGCUCUCUGGACCAUCAUGGAGUUGAGUCAAUAAUGUUUUGCCUUAUCAAAGCAUUUCUAAAAUCUGAUUUUUCUAGAUAGCUAGGUGGUGUAAUAUUCAGUAUUCUAAUGGAGUUUCUUAAUCUACCGUCACUCUUUACUGUGAUCUUGGCUCAUGUAAUUUGAUUAGCCAUUCAUAACUUUAGUACCUAAUAUAUAAAAAAUGGUAGUGAGCUGAGAACACUGGAAAUAUUCACAAGAAUCAGAAAAGCAGACUGGGAGCUGUGGGCCUUUUGUAACUGCUGACAUAUCCUGAGAGGCCCUUACACUGAAUUUAUCCAGUACUUUUGAGCUCUUGCUUUAUGUUAAAAUAAAUAAAUAAGUAAAGCUCUUAUCUUUAGGCUUGUUGCUUUUUUAUCAAGGGAAGUUUUAAUGAGGAAGUUUAACUCAUCAAUGUUAAAUUUUCUACUAAUUACAUGAAAGUGAUUUUUCCCCUGCAGGCAGGUUCUGUUAUCUGACACUCCUGAACUAGUGGGUAGCAUCCAUGGAUGGUGCUAUCCUACUUUAGUCUUCAAAAAAAAAAAAAAUUCUAGGAAGUUAUUGAUUAGUUAAAUAGACACUUCAGAGCUGCAUGUUGUUUCUGUAAUUCCAGAACUGGGAUAGAUAUGCUCAGUUUUUCUGCUAUAAUAUACACUGCUCCAAGGGCAAGAUGCUUUAUGAUUCAAAAUAAUAUAUUUGACAACAUAAGUGAGGGGUCUAGGUCACACCUAGUAACUUAAGCAUGUGGUUUUGCUCAUUGUUAUAUUAAAAAAACAAACCAAAACAAAUGUAGUUAGGAGAUCAGCAUUCACUCCUGGCACACUGGCUAUUUUUGCAUGCUGGCUGUUUUUCAUUUUACAGGCCUAUCAUGAGCUGAGAUCAAAGUCACUUUUUUUCCCCUACCGAGCAAAUAAAUUGCAAGUCCUGGAGCAGCUCACAAUGUGCUGUAAUUCUUGGCUAUAACAUCUAUGAGAUAUGUUUAAACUGAAUGAUCCACUGCUCAGAGGAGUGAUGGCUUCUUUUAUAGCCCUCUUGUUCUUGUAGACAGUAAACCACUGAAUAGACCAUGAACACAAGGGCAGGAUCACCACAUUGUCAUCUUUUCUGGAGUCUUGCGUGUACUUUUGUCAGUUCUGUGGAGCUCCUUACACCUCACACAUUCAGGACUAACUAGUAGUGGUAUUUUUUCUUCAGUCUAUGUUUUGAAUAUUAAAACUGAUAAUUACUAGUCAAGUUUGUACAUGUCUUUGAAGAAGAUACAAGUAUGUAUCUGCUUUAAACUCACAUGUAACCUAUAUGUAUCAAACCCUUUUUUAUACAUGUUAUUGUUCCUUCCAGUAGGUCUUUCUCCAAUCUGCCCACAAAAUGUUUUUCUACUUCCAGACAGACUCUACACUUCCUAUCUCCUAUUUACUCAGUCACCUUGUAAAUGCAGAGUAUUAUUGUGUAGAGAAAGUGCAGCUUUCUCACCGACUCUGUGACUGAAAAUUGCACUUAUUGUAAUUUUUCUUCUCUCCUGUCCUUGAGAGAUCCAGCAAUAUCAUUUUAUCUAUUACAUGACUUUCUUACUUGACAUUCCUUUGUCAUUGCCAGGCACAAAGAACUGAAAAAGGCUGGGAUAUAUGGGAAAGGAGAGGCCAGGAUUGUUCCACAUAGAUCACAGAGCAGAUGUGCCAGGGAAGGUCUGGUCUGUAAUGCUGCACUAAAGGCAAUUGCAUUGCUUGUCUCUUUAAAUGCUAAAGAAUAACACUCAUGCUCACAGCUUCUUCAUUUGUUAAACUAUCAUAUCCAUAGAAGCAAGGCAACAUUUAACAUUUUUUUGUACUCAUGCUGGCUACUGUGAUUGAAAACCCCCACCCCAGACUUUACUGGGUUUCUACUAGUGAGUGGUAUGCUUUAUACUAGUGAGUGGUAUGCUUGUGGGAUAAACUGUUUUCAUGUAUUAAAUAUAAUGUCUGUCUAGGUACUGAUUUUAUUUUCCUGUUUAAUUUAUUCUCCAGAUUCUCUGGCCUUCAGUCAAUGCACUGGCUGAUUAAAUUAUUAUCCCAAUAAUGAGAUUUGACACAAUCUAUGCCAGUUACCUGUGUGACCUGCUAAGUAGGUUAAUUGGCAACCCUGAAUAAUUAUCAACCACCUCAUCUUGCUGAUUGAGAGUGUGCCAAUAAAUGAAACAUAAAAAUGCUGAAAGAGACACAGUUUUUAAUUUCAACUUCUGAAUUUUUUCAAAGAAACUUUUUAGCUAUUAGCUUAUUAAUAAGACACAGCAAUUUAAAAAAUACCUCUUUUAUUAGUAUAGUUUGCUCUUGUGCAUCAUCACAACUUCCUAGGAGAAAAAGGACUCAGUGACAUAUUAGAUAAACAGGUCCUUCUAUACUGCAACUUGCUUGUAUAAGUGAAUAGUUGCAUCCUCAGAGAGCCAGCUCAAAAGUGAGGAAAAUUCAAGAAGUCAAAGUGAUAUUUGUGGUGACAUUGCAAGACUUAUGUUUUAAUGCCUUUCUGUGAAACCUUGAGAACUAGAAAUUAACUUUAUUGUUCAAUGAAAGCUGUGAUUUUUCUAUUCCCAUUUCUCAGGAAACAAAGUUAAGAAAAAUAAAUAUGGUACCUACUGACUCUGACAUGUAUUGGGUGUAUCUAAUCUUUUCUACUUUGUUCAUUUCUGAAAAGGCAGUAUGGUAUUUUUUUCUACCUUAGAAAAUGUAAGAUUGGAACUUAGAGAGGAAGAAUUGACUGCUAGAGAUGAGAAGAUGGGGGGAAAAUAUGUGAGAUUUAAACUUGUGGUCUUUUCACAAGGUAAUGAGCCCACAUUAGUGGUUCAGAACAAUGGACUUAAUCAGAUUUCUUCUAGAAUAAUUUCUCUGCCCUGGCCAGAAAUCCCAUCAAAACUCGGGGUAGAAAGAACCAUCAAAAAAUCCAUUUCUUGUUAUCAGCAGUUAAUGACUGCAACAAAAAGAAUGUUCACAGAGGCACUUUGGAGACCCCCACUUGUGCUCUGCCCUGUCCUUGGGCAUGUUUGUGGCACAACUGGUGGUCCUGGGCUGGUCCUUCUCCACUGUGACCCUGCAGCCUGUGAGCACAGGCACCACUGAUGGAAUCACACAAAUAAGUAUUAAGUGCAGAGUAAUUUUGGCCCAGCUAAAUCUGAUUAUCAUGUGCCAUCUCUUGUAACAUUUUAGCACAGUCUUCCAGCAAUUAAAGGCUUGCACAGUCCCCUGAUCCACCCCCUCUGGUUGCCACUGACAUUCUUCUACUUCAGCCUCUGUGUGUGUUUCCGUGUUUAAGCUCAUGCCAUAAUGGAAAGCAGAGUGUGCACUUUUCUGUGUUCAGAAAUGGGUCCUUCAAGAAGAUACCCAAUCCAAAGCCACCUCAAUCUUUCAGUUUGUUGGCUUCUGGGCUUUAAGGUGGGCUGAUAUAGUUCAAGAGAGAAUUCUGAUGAAAUCACAUAAACCUGAGCCUGAGCAAGUCAGCAGAGCUCAGAUGUUGAGCGAGUGACUCACAUAUUAACACCAAACAUAUGCUCAAGCCUUUUUCUGGAUCAUGGCCAUAUUGAACUAUAAUGACCUAAAUGGAUUUACUCCCCAGACAAAUUCACCCUUCACUUUCCUCCCACCCACACAUACAUUUGCACCUCAAUCAACCACUUAUGUCUCCUUCUAUUUCCUAUAUCCUACUUUUAUUAAAAACUUUAUGGCUUGUUUAAUCUCUUCUAAGCAUGGCUUUAUUUCCUCUCUUGGUUUCCUCUAUGAUUCAUCAUCAGGGCUUUUUUUGCCCCUACCUAAAGGUUUUCAAUUUCUCUGCACAAAUUUAAUAAAAGCAAAAUUGUUAAGGCUUAUUAAAGAAGCUGUCCUGUCUUUUUGUGCUCCUUCAUCUCACCCCCCUCCUUCCCCUUAAAAAGAUGAAGAAGGUGUUGAAGUUGCACAUCAGGUGAAACUACUGUCUACAAAUGGAAAAAAUAAUAUCUUUCAGCUCUCUUUCUGUGGAUUUUUUUUUCUGGCAUGUGGUCUUGAUGUCUAAAAUUAUAGGCAUUUAGAUGUCAGGUAGCAGAAGAGAAAAAAAUAUUUUAAAAAAAAGGAGGCAUUGUGGCAAAAUAUCAAAGAACUGAUGUGUUGGUGGUAGUUAUAAGGUCUUUUAUUCCUCAAGAAUAGCACAGCUUUAUAAAGUUUUUAUCAUACCUGAUAGAAAAUUAAGGGCUGCUGAUAUUUUGCAGCUCAUUACUCAUUGCUUGUUGAUUACAUAAGUGUUUUUGAAUGAGGGAGCACUGUAAGGUCCUGUGAGAAGCUAAGCUGACAUGACUUCUGUCUUUCCUUUUUUUUACGACAGUCAAUAGCUCAGUUGUAAGGAACAGAAUUGCUCUUUGUGACAUUCUUUUGGGAGAGCUAGCUAAAAUUUGAGAGCAGAAAAGCAUUUCUGGGAAAAAAAACAACCCAGCAUGCCAGACAAAUCAAUAAGUGGACGGAGCCGAGUCUGAGACUUUUGGAUUGGGUUAAAACCUAAAUCAAGAUAGUAUUGACUCUGCAAAGCCUGUAUUUUUGGGGGUGGGUAUAUCAGAAUCAAUAGUGCCUUCUUGCUUUAUUGGAAAACUUCUAUGUAUCUGUGCAAGCAAAUCCAUUCUACAAUUGUAUUUAUUUUCUUGAGCUAAAGUUUUCUAUUUGGUGUGUGUGACCUGUGUGUUGUGGCUCUAUGGAAAUAACAAAAGGUGGAUUGUGUGUGGUAUCUGUCACCAGUGUUCUCUACUGAUGAUAUUUGUAAAGGAAAUGAAAUAUUCUUUGAUGAAUAAAUUAUGUACAACUCAUAUAUGUAAGUUCUCUACCACCUGUUCACCAUUACCUCAGAAAUAAUUAUUUUAUUUUCUGGGAAAAAGAUACAGGCAUACAUUGAUCAGGAUGUGAAAGCAUAAACUGUGGGCUUUAAUGAUCUAAUGCUUUGCAUCUAUGAAGUUUCCCAUCCAAGAUCUUAUUGUAUCCAAUAUAUCCAACAUUACAUUACUUAAAUGUAUCACAUCUUUGCUAAAGCUAGAUGUUUGUAGUCCCGUUUUGCAGAUAAAGCUGCAAGGACAAUGCAAAUUUUACCUGUUUGUGCUCUAAGUUAGUCAAGACUCUUGUGAUCCUACACUUGGGCAAAAGCAUUUGGGCUGAUCCUGACUGUUGGGAAAGCUCAGCUGGGCUUAGUAGUUUAAACUGAGUUAUGUUGCUCUUGUUCAGAACUGGUUUGUGUUGGCCACCUCAGAGUGCACCCAGGGAAAGCCUCUCUCUUUGUUCCCCUGCCUAUAUAGACUUGCCUUAAAUAAAUCUGAAAAAGAGACUUAGGUAUCUUUGAUCAUUUAGAAUGGAGUUGAUCCAGUAUUAGCUUGCUAUAAAGCCACUGAAAAAUGUGAACCUAAUCUCCACAGUUAAACCAUCAAGCACACCAUAACCAGGCCCCUGUCUUCUGCAGGUUUUAGAAAUAAAAAGCAUUGCUAAAAUUUUAAUUAACUAUUUUGUAGAGCAAACCCACUGCAUUCCCAGUGAGCUCAUUAUGGUAGAAAAUGAAUCUAUCACAGUUAACAUUUCCUAACUCCUAAUGCCUCUGAUUUUUGCUUGUGCUACCAGUCUUCCCUUAUCUGCCUCAUAAGUACUCUGAGUGUGGUACCUAUGAAAUAAUAUCCAGGUAUGGUAUUUAAUCUCUUGGCAGGAAAGAAAAAAACACAAUGCACUUACUCAGCAAUUCCUUCUGAAUAAUGGUCUGGUGAUCCGAUUUUCUCCUUCUGGAUACAACCAAGUUAUUACUUCAGCAGAACUGCCUGCAGUGCCAACACACACACAGAUGAAGUCAUAAUAACAGUUCAUUUUACACACACACAUGCACAUCCUCCAAAUGGUGUUCCUAAGAAUAGAGCUUAGAAAACCUUCUUGAUAACAUGAGUAUGAAAGAGGGUUUUGUGCAAUUGAUAUACACGUUCUGCUUGGUGCUUGGUAUUGAUUGCAUCUGCUUCUACAGGAUGUAAAAUAAGUGUGUUAAAUGCUAGAACUGUGGUUCCAAUAAAAUAAAAAUUCUGAAUUA
Long non-coding RNA from Pipra filicauda (Wire-tailed manakin), 18729 nucleotides. RefSeq lists it as uncharacterized. The transcript has 4 exons. NCBI's taxonomy places the organism in Eukaryota, Metazoa, Chordata, Aves, Passeriformes, Pipridae. The record is from RefSeq and is a predicted model, not a curated record.